This 70-nucleotide transfer RNA is filed under the name Plecoglossus altivelis (ayu). Its description in RNAcentral is "tRNA-Glu". It matches the Rfam family "tRNA". From Rfam's summary of the family: Transfer RNA (tRNA) molecules are approximately 80 nucleotides in length. Their secondary structure includes four short double-helical elements and three loops (D, anti-codon, and T loops). RNAcentral also lists the same sequence under 1 other name. Lineage: Eukaryota; Metazoa; Chordata; Actinopteri; Osmeriformes; Plecoglossidae. The record is from RNAcentral.
GUUCUUGUAGUUGAAUCGACAACGGUGGUUUUUCAAGUCACUGGUCCUGGUUAGAGUCCUGGCAGGAAUU